GACCGUGCUAAGGUAGCGUGAUAAUUCGCCCUUUAAUUGUGGGCUUGUAUGAAAGGACAAACGAGAGUUCGACUGUCUCCCUGGUAGAACAGGAAAUUGUUAUCCAGGUGAAGAAACCUGGAUUUAAAUAAAGGACAAAAAGACCCCAUAGAGCUUUGUUAGACACCGAUUAACUAUAAAGUAUUUGUACAUUUAUAGCUAACAGGGAACUAACUUAACUGGGGCGGUUAAGGAAAACACAAAGCUUCCGUCUAUAGUUCUAACUUGCACAGCUAGGCAAAACAAGCCAAACCGAAAAAUGACCCUUACAUAAAGAUCAAAGGAUUAGCUACCUUGGGGAUAACAGAUUCAUCCCCCUUGAGAGUCCGCAUUGACAGGGGGGCUU
Molecule: ribosomal RNA, 385 nt
Filed under: Paralvinella mira
Lineage: Eukaryota; Metazoa; Annelida; Polychaeta; Terebellida; Alvinellidae
Description: Paralvinella sp. m YZ-2021 partial large subunit ribosomal RNA
Rfam family: Bacterial large subunit ribosomal RNA
Source: RNAcentral